UACGUAGGGACUAAGCGUUGUUCGGAAUUACUGGGCGUAAAGGGCUCGUAGGCGGCCAACUAAGUCAGUUGUGAAAUCCCCAGGCUCAACCUGGGAACUGCGUCUGAUACUGGUUGGCUUGAAUCCGGGAGAGGGAUGCAGAAUUCCAGGUGUAGCGGUGAAAUGCGUAGAUAUCUGGAGGAAUACCGGUGGCGAAGGCGGCAUCCUGGACCGGCAUUGACGCUGAGGGGCGAAAGCCAGGGGAGCAAACGGG
Molecule: ribosomal RNA, 253 nt
Filed under: uncultured bacterium
Lineage: Bacteria
Description: partial 16S ribosomal RNA
Rfam family: Bacterial small subunit ribosomal RNA
Source: RNAcentral